CCCAGCAUCAGAUGGUUCCAUGCCAACCUCCUCCAUGGCUAGGUGUUGGAGCGCCCCAGCUGCUGCCUCCCUGGUAGCUUUCAUUAAAGGACUUUGCUUUUUUGGUAAAUAAGGGCCCCAUUUUUCUACCUUAGUCUUUGAAAAUCAACCUGAGAAACACUUUGUGUGUCUACAUCUCUUAGGAAGAAGAGAAUAAUGAGAUGAUGUAUGCAGAGCACUGGCAGAAAGCCUAGCAUAGAGGAAUCUGAGGAUUCGCCAUGCAUGCUUCCUGGUAUAUAGUACUAGUUCUUGUCAAUGGCACAGAGACUUGAAGACUGUAUAUAAAUGGACACACCUACUAGAAUGAAUGGAAACCCACACUGCUGUUGUGAAGACACCUGAUGAAACUCCAGCAACUUCUACAUCUGGCCUGCUGCUUAGUCCUGGGACCUGAGGUCAAAAUCUUAGAAAAGAGCCAU
This 458-nucleotide long non-coding RNA is filed under the name Homo sapiens (human). RNAcentral's name for it is "non-protein coding lnc-CYSTM1-1:12". Lineage: Eukaryota; Metazoa; Chordata; Mammalia; Primates; Hominidae. The record is from RNAcentral.